Molecule: ribosomal RNA, 395 nt
Filed under: uncultured bacterium
Lineage: Bacteria
Description: partial 16S ribosomal RNA
Rfam family: Bacterial small subunit ribosomal RNA
Source: RNAcentral
CCUACGGGAGGCAGCAGUGAGGAAUAUUGGUCAAUGGACGCAAGUCUGAACCAGCCAAGCCGCGUGAAGGAUGAAGGUUCUGUGAAUUGUAAACUGCUUUUGUCAGGGAGUAAAGGCAGAUACGCGUCUCCGUAUGAGAGUAGCGUAAGAAUAAGCAUCGGCUAACUCCGUGCCAGCAGCCGCGGUAAUACGGAGGAUUCAAGCGUUAUCCGGAUUUAUUGGGUUUAAAGGGUGCGUAGGCGGUCCGAUAAGUCAGGGGUCAAAGCCCGGGGCUCAACUUCGGAACUGCCUCUGAAACUGUUAGUCUAGAGUUGAGGAGCGGUAUGCGGAAUGCGUGGUGUAGCGGUGAAAUGCAUAGAUAUCAUGCAGAACACCGAUUGCGAAGGCAGCUUGCC